Molecule: ribosomal RNA, 415 nt
Filed under: uncultured bacterium
Lineage: Bacteria
Description: bacterial SSU rRNA
Rfam family: Bacterial small subunit ribosomal RNA
Source: RNAcentral
AUUGGACAAUGGGGGCAACCCUGAUCCAGCCAUGCCGCGUGCGUGAAGAAGGCCCUCGGGUUGUAAAGCUCUUUUGUCCGGAAAGAAAAGCACCUGGUUAAUACCCGGGUGUUCUGACGGUACCGGAAGAAGAAGCACCGGCUAACUACGUGCCAGCAGCCGCGGUAAUACGUAGGGUGCAGGCGUUAAUCGGAAUUACUGGGCGUAAAGCGUGCGCAGGCGGCCUCUCAAGUCAGAUGUGAAAGCCCCGGGCUUAACCUGGGAACUGCGUUUGAAACUGGGGGGCUAGAGUGCGGCAGAGGGGGGUGGAAUUCCACGUGUAGCAGUGAAAUGCGUAGAUAUGUGGAGGAACACCGAUGGCGAAGGCAGCCCCCUGGGCCUGUACUGACGCUCAUGCACGAAAGCGUGGGGAGCA